RNAcentral lists this ribosomal RNA (171 nucleotides) under uncultured bacterium. Its description in RNAcentral is "partial 16S ribosomal RNA". The record is from RNAcentral.
CACGCUGUAAACGAUGAAUGCUAGGUGUGGGGAGUCAAAUCUCUGUGCCGCAGUAAACGCAAUAAGCAUUCCGCCUGGGGAGUACNGCGAAGAACCUUACCAGGGCUUGACAUCGUACGAAUCCUUCAGAGAUGAGGGAGUGCCUGCUUGCAGGAGCGUAUAGACAGGUGG